UGCUACUCUGUUCGUCUAUGAUAUCGUAAUUAAUUGGAAAAAGAAUUCAGAAAAAAAUUUAUCGCAUUUCUAGGAGAUUCUCAGCUUAAUUGUUUAUACCUUUUCUCUAAUUCCCAAAAAAACAAGCCAGUGAUUGAUUAACACUUCAUGAGUUCACGUUUGUGACCCAUACAGAUAGAGAUUAGGGUAAUUUCAUGUCUGGGAAUUUUAUAAUUGCAUCGUAUUAGCUAAAAGAAAAAACAGUGUUUUUGUUUUGUGAUUAAUUGUGGUGGUUUCUGCUAGAUAGAUUCUUGCUUAUUUUGUCCUUUCUUCUUAGUUCUUACUCAGAGAGCAAUAUCAUUUCGAUUUCGAUUCUAAUUUCUAUAUACGUAUAUAUAUUUUCACUCUUUCCUCGUCAACCUUCGAAUUGAAAAGAGACAAAAGCAAAAGUAAGAACAGACAAGGGAAAAACAAAUAAAAAAAAUUACAGGCAAUUACGCAUUUUGGCCCUUUCUGCUUGAGUAACAUACAAGAAGAAGAGAGACGUGUCCAACUUAUCUUAUACCUUAAUGGGAAUUGUACAAAAUGGUAGUCUGCUUGGUGGGGAUUUUUGAUAUUUGUCUAACUCGUAUGUUAACCUUAAUAAGCAAAACCCUGCUUUCUUCACCACUUCUUGCAUAAGUUUGUUAAAUUUGGGAGGCAUCUUGAGGCUUUUUGACAGGUGGGUCAAGGAGAAGUGGGUUUAAAUUACAGCUUAUCUCAGAGAUUUGUGAGAGAGAUUUUUGGCGGAUUUUUGUGUUGAAGGGAAAACAGAGAUGGGUUCCUAUGGA
Molecule: unclassified non-coding RNA, 809 nt
Filed under: Hevea brasiliensis (rubber tree)
Lineage: Eukaryota; Viridiplantae; Streptophyta; Magnoliopsida; Malpighiales; Euphorbiaceae
Source: RNAcentral